ACUCAAAUGAAUAGACGGGGGCCCGCACAAGCGGUGGAGCAUGUGGUUUAAUUCGAUGCAACGCGAAGAACCUUACCUACCCUUGACAUGUCAAGAAGCCCGGUUAAGCGCUGGGCGUGCCGAAAGGAGCUUGAACACAGGUGCUGCAUGGCUGUCGUCAGCUCGUGUCGUGAGAUGUUGGGUUAAGUCCCGUAACGAGCGCAACCCUUGUCCUUCGUUGCCACCCGAAAGGGGGAACUCGAAGGAGACUGCCGGUGAUAAACCGGAGGAAGGUGGGGAUGACGUCAAGUCAUCAUGGCCUUUAUGGGUAGGGCUACACACGUGCUACAAUGGGGUGAACAGAGGGAAGCCAACCCGCGAGGGGGAGCUAAUCCUGAAAAACAUUUCGUAGUCCGGAUCGGAGUCUGCAACUCGACUCCGUGAAGUUGGAAUCGCUAGUAAUCGCGGAUCAGAAUGUCGCGGUGAAUACGUUCCCGGGCCUUGUACACACCGCCCGU
Molecule: ribosomal RNA, 497 nt
Filed under: uncultured bacterium
Lineage: Bacteria
Description: partial 16S ribosomal RNA
Rfam family: Bacterial small subunit ribosomal RNA
Source: RNAcentral